CGAACGCUGGCGGCGUGCCUAAUACAUGCAAGUCGAACGCACCUUUCGGGGUGAGUGGCGCACGGCUGAGUAACACGUGGGAAUCUGUCUUCUAGUGGGGGAUAACGUCUCGAAAGAGACGCUAAUCCCGCAUACGCUCGGUAACGAGGAAAGGCGCAAGUCGCUAGAAGAGGAGCCUGCGGCCCAUCAGGUAGUUGGAGAGGUAAUGGCUCACCAAGCCUAUGACGGGUAGCUGGUCUGUGAGGACAACCAGCCAGACUGGGACUGAGAACGGCCCAGACUCCUACGGGAGGCAGCAGUAAGGAAUUUUCGUCAAUGGGGGAAACCCUGAACGAGCAACGCCGCGUGGAGGAUGACGGUCUUCGGAUUGUAAACUCCUUUUGUGAGGGACGAUAAUGACGGUACCUCGCGAAUAAGCCCCGGCUAACUCUGUGCCAGAGCCGCGGUAAUCUGAUGGCGCGAGG
This 464-nucleotide ribosomal RNA is filed under the name uncultured Roseiflexus sp. RNAcentral's name for it is "bacterial SSU rRNA". It matches the Rfam family "Bacterial small subunit ribosomal RNA", at positions 30 to 539 of the family's 1533-position model. The record is from RNAcentral. Lineage: Bacteria; Bacillati; Chloroflexota; Chloroflexia; Chloroflexales; Roseiflexaceae.